Molecule: transfer RNA, 69 nt
Filed under: Rhynchocyon stuhlmanni (Stuhlmann's elephant shrew)
Lineage: Eukaryota; Metazoa; Chordata; Mammalia; Macroscelidea; Macroscelididae
Description: tRNA-His
Rfam family: tRNA
About the family: Transfer RNA (tRNA) molecules are approximately 80 nucleotides in length.
Source: RNAcentral
GUGUUUAUAGUUUAAUAAAAACCUUAGAUUGUGGAUCUAACAACAGAAGUUCAAAUCUUCUUAUACACC